Molecule: ribosomal RNA, 297 nt
Filed under: uncultured bacterium
Lineage: Bacteria
Description: partial 16S ribosomal RNA
Rfam family: Bacterial small subunit ribosomal RNA
Source: RNAcentral
UAACUCCGUGCCAGCAGCCGCGGUAAUACGGGAGGGUGCGAGCGUUAAUCGGAAUUACUGGGCGUAAAGCGCAUGCAGGUGGUUUGUUAAGUCAGAUGUGAAAGCCCGGGGCUCAACCUCGGAAUUGCAUUUUGAAACUGGCAGACUAGAGUACUGUAGAGGGGGUAGAAUUUCAGGUGUAGCGGUGAAAUGCGUAGAGAUCUGAAGGAAUACCGGUGGCGAAGGCGGCCCCCUGGACAGAUACUGACACUCAGAUGCGAAAGCGUGGGGAGCAAACAGGAUUAGAUACCCUGGUAG